UGGGGAGCUUGCUCCCCUGAGAUCAGCGGCGGACGGGUGAGUAACACGUGGGCAACCUGCCUGUAAGACUGGGAUAACUCCGGGAAACCGGGGCUAAUACCGGAUAACAUUUUCCACUGCAUAGUGGAGAAUUAAAAGAUGGCUCCGGCUAUCACUUACAGAUGGGCCCGCGGCGCAUUAGCUAGUUGGUGAGGUAAGGGCUCACCAAGGCGACGAUGCGUAGCCGACCUGAGAGGGUGAUCGGCCACACUGGGACUGAGACACGGCCCAGACUCCUACGGGAGGCAGCAGUAGGGAAUCUUCGGCAAUGGGCGAAAGCCUGACCGAGCAACGCCGCGUGAGCGAUGAAGGCCUUCGGGUCGUAAAGCUCUGUUGUUAGGGAAGAACAAGUACCGUUCAAAUAGGGCGGUACCUUGACGGUACCUAACCAGAAAGCCACGGCUAACUACGUGCCAGCAGCCGCGGUAAUACGUAGGUGGCAAGCGUUGUCCGGAAUUAUUGGGCGUAAAGCGCGCGCAGGCGGUCUCUUAAGUCUGAUGUGAAAGCCCACGGCUCAACCGUGGAGGGUCAUUGGAAACUGGGGGACUUGAGUACUGGAGAGGAGAGUGGAAUUCCAUGUGUAGCGGUGAAAUGCGUAGAUAUAUGGAGGAACACCAGUGGCGAAGGCGGCUCUCUGGCCAGUAACUGACGCUGAGGCGCGAAAGCGUGGGGAGCAAACAGGAUUAGAUACCCUGGUAGUCCACGCCGUAAACGAUGAGUGCUAGUGUUUGGGGGGUUCCACCCUCAGUGCUGACGUUAACACAUUAAGCACUCCGCCUGGGGAGUACGGCCGCAAGGCUGAAACUCAAAGGAAUUGACGGGGGCCCGCACAAGCAGUGGAGCAUGUGGUUUAAUUCGAAGCAACGCGAAGAACCUUACCAGGUCUUGACAUCCUUCGCUACUUCUAGAGAUAGAAGGUUCCCCUUCCGGGG
Molecule: ribosomal RNA, 971 nt
Filed under: Pseudalkalibacillus berkeleyi
Lineage: Bacteria; Bacillati; Bacillota; Bacilli; Caryophanales; Fictibacillaceae
Description: bacterial SSU rRNA
Rfam family: Bacterial small subunit ribosomal RNA
Source: RNAcentral